CUAUCAGAGUUAGUCAAUGUCGUUACCCUCUAGUUAGGCUGUGAGAAUACUAAUGUUGA
Molecule: small RNA, 59 nt
Rfam family: Transposase-1 RNA
About the family: Lactobacillales (Firmicutes).
Source: Rfam